This 329-nucleotide unclassified non-coding RNA is filed under the name soil metagenome. RNAcentral's name for it is "partial contains 5.8S ribosomal RNA, internal transcribed spacer 2, and large subunit ribosomal RNA". The stretch from base 1 to 120 matches the Rfam family "5.8S ribosomal RNA", at positions 35 to 154 of the family's 154-position model. The record is from RNAcentral.
GAUGAAGAACGCAGCGAAAUGCGAUAAGUAAUGUGAAUUGCAGAAUUCAGUGAAUCAUCGAAUCUUUGAACGCGCAUUGCGCCCCCUGGUAUUCCGGGGGGCAUGCCUGUCCGAGCGUCAUUACAACCCUCAAGCUCAGCUUGGUGUUGGGCCCCGCCGCCCCGGCGGGCCCUAAAGUCAGUGGCGGUGCCGUCCGGCUCCGAGCGUAGUAAUUCUUCUCGCUCUGGAGGUCCGGUCGUGUGCUCGCCAGCAACCCCCAAUUUUUUUCAGGUUGACCUCGGAUCAGGUAGGGAUACCCGCUGAACUUAAGCAUAUCAGUAAGCGGAGGA